Molecule: small RNA, 109 nt
Filed under: Flavobacterium flevense
Lineage: Bacteria; Pseudomonadati; Bacteroidota; Flavobacteriia; Flavobacteriales; Flavobacteriaceae
Description: Flavo-1 RNA
Rfam family: Flavo-1 RNA
Source: RNAcentral
CCUUAGCCCUGAUGGUAGCGGCAUCCUUUUUAUUUUUUUCCCCUUUUAGAGUUUAAAAACUAUAAAAGGGGAAAAAAAUAAAAAGAUAUAGCGGACAGCGGGAUCAGCU